This 670-nucleotide ribosomal RNA is filed under the name uncultured bacterium. Its description in RNAcentral is "bacterial SSU rRNA". It matches the Rfam family "Bacterial small subunit ribosomal RNA", at positions 55 to 714 of the family's 1533-position model. The record is from RNAcentral.
AUGCAAGUCGAGCGGUAGCACAAGGGAGCUUGCUCCCUGGGUGACGAGCGGCGGACGGGUGAGUAAUGUCUGGGAAACUGCCUGAUGGAGGGGGAUAACUACUGGAAACGGUAGCUAAUACCGCAUAACGUCGCAAGACCAAAGAGGGGGACCUUCGGGCCUCUUGCCAUCAGAUGUGCCCAGAUGGGAUUAGCUAGUAGGUGGGGUAAUGGCUCACCUAGGCGACGAUCCCUAGCUGGUCUGAGAGGAUGACCAGCCACACUGGAACUGAGACACGGUCCAGACUCCUACGGGAGGCAGCAGUGGGGAAUAUUGCACAAUGGGCGCAAGCCUGAUGCAGCCAUGCCGCGUGUGUGAAGAAGGCCUUCGGGUUGUAAAGCACUUUCAGCGAGGAGGAAGGUGGUGAGCUUAAUACGCUCAUCAAUUGACGUUACUCGCAGAAGAAGCACCGGCUAACUCCGUGCCAGCAGCCGCGGUAAUACGGAGGGUGCAAGCGUUAAUCGGAAUUACUGGGCGUAAAGCGCACGCGGGCGGUUUGUUAAGUCAGAUGUGAAAUCCCCGGGCUCAACCUGGGAACUGCAUUUGAAACUGGCAAGCUAGAGUCUCGUAGAGGGGGGUAGAAUUCCAGGUGUAGCGGUGAAAUGCGUAGAGAUCUGGAGGAAUACCGGUG